UACGAAGGGGGCUAGCGUUGUUCGGAAUUACUGGGCGUAAAGCGCGCGCAGGCGGUCUUCCAAGUCAGUGGUGAAAGCCCGGAGCUCAACUCCGGAACUGCCAUUGAAACUGUUAGACUUGAGGAUGAGAGAGGUGAGUGGAAUUCCCAGUGUAGAGGUGAAAUUCGUAGAUAUUGGGAAGAACACCAGUGGCGAAGGCGGCUCACUGGCUCGGUACUGACGCUGAGGUGCGAAAGCGUGGGGAGCAAACAGG
This 253-nucleotide ribosomal RNA is filed under the name uncultured bacterium. RNAcentral's name for it is "partial 16S ribosomal RNA". It matches the Rfam family "Bacterial small subunit ribosomal RNA", at positions 524 to 776 of the family's 1533-position model. The record is from RNAcentral.